Phacochoerus africanus (Common warthog) is the source of this 2644-nucleotide long non-coding RNA. RefSeq lists it as uncharacterized. NCBI's taxonomy places the organism in Eukaryota, Metazoa, Chordata, Mammalia, Artiodactyla, Suidae. The transcript is spliced from 4 exons. The record is from RefSeq and is a predicted model, not a curated record.
UUGGAUUCGGAACCAGUUUCUUAGCCCGGGAAUCUACCCCAGCAAGGAAGAACUUGCCAUUAGCCCUAAGUCCUCGGAGCCAAUGGGAACCCAGGGUCGGUGGAGGGAGCCAGGCGCGGAGAGGCCAUUGGCCAGAGUUUUCCAGGAGUGAAGCCAAUUAGAGCGAGAACAAAGGAACCCGACCGCCAAUGGGAGGCGCCUCCGGGGGCGGGAGCAGGGAGACAAGGAAAUGCUGUCACCGCCGUUAACACGCACGUGGAGGUUUGUUAAAGGAAGCCCUGAUUUGAAGCCCUGCCUCCAUCAGUGUCAAGACAAGGGACCUCAGGGAAGGGACCAAGGAUGUGGCACCUGAGCGGUACGUCCUCAGUUCUUCACCUUUAAGUCAUUAGCACUCUGGACUCAAAAGUGUCUGCAGACCUGGCCGGGCUCUGAGUGACUCUUCAGUUAGGAAGUCACGGAGGAGUCUGGACGCGAGCCGCAGGCUGCCAGCGCUCCACCCGCACCCGCACAAUGUCGAGUGGUUUUGUUUCCCUUCCCCGCUGGCCCCUGGAAACUCCUCCAGAUCUCAAAGCCAUUUCACGCGUCCUGAGGAGUUAAGACGAUGAGGGGACCUGCCAUCUGAAUACCUCUUUAGCUGUCUCCACCCUGAAUCUCUCUCCUGAACACGUGACUGUGUCCCUUGCUCAUCGGCAUCCUAUCUUAUGGAAGGGACCCUGGAGAAGUGAGUGGGGGCCGCUGGGGGAUGGUGAGAACCCUUCACUUGGACAGAAGUCAUCCCAGGAAAUGGUACAAAAAACACUGGGCCUCAGAAUUCUGCUGAAAAUAGGAAAAAAAAGAAAGAAAGAAACCAAGACACACAUUCCCCCGAAGAGUAUCAUUAUGUACAAAAACAUGCUUUCUCUGCUUUGGCACAUUUAUUUGUGAGUCACUCCACACAUGCAUCCAGGGCUACGAUCGGUUCUGAAAUGAGGGGUGACUUCAUUUCCCCUGGGAAGAGAGGGCUGGCUCACCAUUUGCUUUUUUGAUAGCUGGGUCUGUCCUGAGGCUAAUCUGAGAAGACUUCCAGUUAAACGCUGGCCAGCAAAAUAGUCCACAGCCCUGCCUGCUGUCUCUCAUUCCCUACUUACGCCCUCUGAAAGGCGGCUUUGUGAUUCUACCACGUCCCCUAGGAGACAAACACCCCAAAGAGGAAGCUCUAGAAGGAGGACAUUCGGAAGCAGGCAGCCCAGUGCCUGCUGGUUCCUGAGCCAUUUUCACUGCAUGGCUGGAAUGAAGAGACUACCUACCAGCCUAAAUCACGGCAAAGGAGCAGACUGGCCUCUCAGUGUGCUGGGGCUUCUGGCUUAGGGACAGCAUGCAAUUUUGAUGUGGAGACAAACCAGCUCAGGGAAAGGAGCUGGCCAAAGAGGAAGGAUUCAGACAGCUGGGUCAGCAAGCACGCUCUUCCCGCAAUACAAACAGCCCUGACGUGUCGACACCGCUUGGAGCUGCUCACAUGGGAUAAAAGAGAAGCAGCAAAACCCGGCACUUAACUCUUCACACCCCUCCGCUCCUGAGCCAAGCUCAUCUCCCAACAGCAUGCCAGUGUGAAGCCCAUCCCGAUGAGAAGCAGCCCCCUACGCCAGUGGUGGCCUCGGAGCAUCCAGAAAGAGCACGUCCCAGACAUGCAGUGAAGUGGCGGCAUACCCCACUCCUGUGCUUGCUCCUGGGCUCUCUUUUCAGCCUCGCAGGAGGCAGGAGAACAAUCCAUUUUGGAAUCUGGUCAACUGAACAAAUCCACCAGUAGUACCACCUGGGAGCAUCUCCCCAAGGCAAGCUCUAAUCUCUUUCCUGUUCAAGCGGACAGGGCCCCGUGUUUUUACCCACUUCAUUCAUCCUCCUACUCAGCUUCAACAGAUACCUGACAGCCAAGUGCGACCUCCCCACCCUGAGCUCUCCUAAGAGAACACUGCUAGCCAGCAAGAAAGCUGACCAUUGAGGAAGCAGUUCUUAGAAGAGAAAGGGACUUUUUGACUAUGUUUCAGAAAUGGAAAGAUCUAAGUGUGGGCUCCACGAAAGAAGAAAUAGAGAGAAAGCUCUUUCCCCUCCUUCGACAAGUCUAGGAGCCACGCAAGGAGUUGCAUGUGGAUCCAAAACAAAAGCAGAGCAAAACAAAAAAGGAAAAACAUCAACAAACGCAUUCCAUAAUGAGGUCUAUUUCACAGCCCACCUUGGUUUGGUCCAGCAUGGAAGCCAAGUUUAGAACUUGCUGGGAAGAAGUUCACAAAGCCGGUUAAGCUGCUGCUCAAAGGAACCCUCUAGACGUAUCGCCCAGGAGACUUUUGGAGCUUCUCCAAAUAAGACUGCCCGGGUCUGCAGCCCACAAGUUUUCAGAUUGGGCAGUGUUUUCAUUUAAACUCAGAAGUGCUCACAUCUUUACAUUUUUUGAUAUUCUAACACACCCCUUAAAGCAGUGUUUCUCUGCAUCUUUCAUUCUGUAGUCAUUGUCCACCUCCAAAAUAAUUCCUAAGUUUUCAAUCUUUGGAAGCAACACUUCCAAUUCAUUUGUCUACAGAGAAGAGAGGGGUUAAAGAUAAGUCUUAGAAGAACAUGCUACAUGGAGUUCCCGUCGUGGCUCAGUGGUUAACGAAUCUGACUAGGAACC